RNAcentral lists this ribosomal RNA (260 nucleotides) under Photobacterium damselae subsp. piscicida. Its description in RNAcentral is "partial 16S ribosomal RNA". It matches the Rfam family "Bacterial small subunit ribosomal RNA", at positions 1 to 246 of the family's 1533-position model. The record is from RNAcentral. Lineage: Bacteria; Pseudomonadati; Pseudomonadota; Gammaproteobacteria; Vibrionales; Vibrionaceae.
UUAAUUGAAGAGUUUGAUCAUGGCUCAGAUUGAACGCUGGCGGCAGGCCUAACACAUGCAAGUCGAGCGGCAGCGACUUAACUGAACCUUCGGGGGACGUUAAGGGCGGCGAGCGGCGGACGGGUGAGUAAUGCCUGGGAAUAUGCCCUGAUGUGGGGGAUAACUAUUGGAAACGAUAGCUAAUACCGCAUAAUCUCUUCGGAGCAAAGAGGGGGACCUUCGGGCCUCUCGCGUCAGGAUUAGCCCAGGUGGGAUUAGCU